UACAGAGGGUGCGAGCGUUGUCCGGAAUUACUGGGCGUAAAGGGCGCGUAGGCGGUUCGAUAAGUCGGGGGUGAAAUGCUGCGGCUCAACCGGAGCAUGGCCUUCGAGACUGUCGAGCUGGAGCACGGUAGAGGCUGGCGGAAUUCCUGGUGUAGCGGUGGAAUGCGUAGAGAUCAGGAAGAACACCGGUGGCGAAGGCGACCAGCUGGGCCGUUGCUGACGCUGAGGCGCGACAGCGUGGGGAGCAAACAGG
RNAcentral lists this ribosomal RNA (253 nucleotides) under uncultured bacterium. RNAcentral describes it as "partial 16S ribosomal RNA". It matches the Rfam family "Bacterial small subunit ribosomal RNA", at positions 524 to 776 of the family's 1533-position model. The record is from RNAcentral.